GAUGAUAUAGCUCAGUAGCAAAGUGCCUGUGCCUGCUUACCACGCACAAGGCCCUGGGUUCAAUUCCCAGUGUCACA
This 77-nucleotide transfer RNA is filed under the name Neotoma lepida (desert woodrat). It matches the Rfam family "tRNA". Rfam says of the family: Transfer RNA (tRNA) molecules are approximately 80 nucleotides in length. Their secondary structure includes four short double-helical elements and three loops (D, anti-codon, and T loops). Further hydrogen bonds mediate the characteristic L-shaped molecular structure. tRNAs have two regions of fundamental functional importance: the anti-codon, which is responsible for specific mRNA codon recognition, and the 3' end, to which the tRNAs corresponding amino acid is attached (by aminoacyl-tRNA synthetases). tRNAs cope with the degeneracy of the genetic code in two manners: having more than one tRNA (with a specific anti-codon) for a particular amino acid; and 'wobble' base-pairing, i.e. permitting non-standard base-pairing at the 3rd anti-codon position. Lineage: Eukaryota; Metazoa; Chordata; Mammalia; Rodentia; Cricetidae. The record is from Rfam by way of RNAcentral.